UAUUGGUCUACCAGAGAGGGCACAUGUGCCUCAAUUGGCCUAUAGCAUAGUGGCUCAUUAUCCUUCAACCGCUGGUGGCGGGCGGUACUCGCUGCUCUGUGAAGCCAGCCUCACGCAAUGUCCGCCACUUUAGGUGUUGGGAUGCAAAGGCUUUCGCCAAGGCAUCCGAAACCCACUACACAACUUGGAAUGGGUGGUCCACAGUUUGUAGCACUAGACCCAGGCACAUGCACCACAAUUGACAUUCACACUACCUUAUUGCCCCCGCUCGGGUUACAAGCAAUCGCUACUUGCUCAGCGAGUGAGGGGGGUUCAAGACUACCUAUUUAAGGUGGUGUUGUACUGUAUGAGCCGGCGGUGUGGUAUUUACCAACUACAAAUAGUGUCAUGCAUGUGACUUGCUAGUUGACAAUGUCUGUUGUGGAGCUAGAUGUGGGCUAUGGAUGAAGCACAUUAGGAUAUAGUAGGCCUAUUUUGUUUUUUGUUAUUUUUGGGCCACUAUGGACUUUAUGUUGAUGUUGUGAAUUUUUUUCUUGUGUUUCCUCUUCCUACGAUGUGGAAAGUGGGUGCGUCAGAGAAGAAAGAAAGAGUGGCUAGCAUUGAUUUUACGUCAUACCAUUGAGAACACUAAUCAGAAGCAGAAGCAACAAUAUUUCAUACAUAUACAACACUUGUAAUCCAUAUAAACAACUUUCCUUUCAAAUAUAAUAUAAACCACAUGAUUUAUAUCCUGGGUCGGCUAUCUCCACAAAGGGCAAGAAAACGCUCCAAGUUUGUAGUAUAGAACUAAAAGUGUCGACUCUCACGAUUUCUUCCCGACAUAUGCAAACUAGACAGUAAUCACAUAAAAUAAAGAAAUAUGUGUUAACACAAACUUAUAACAUGUAUUUCAACAUAUAGAUUUUUGAUUAUUAUGGUAGAUUAUAUAAUAUAGGGGUUCCCGAAGAAAUACAUAAAAAACAAGAGCAUUAAAAUUUCCUUUUCAGAUCUGGCUAACUGGUAAAGGGAGUUGGAGUAUCUGUGUUUCCAAAUUUGGGACGUCGCUCUAUAGAAGGAAUAUAAAUACAUUGGAAAAAAAUUCUACAAGGAAAGGUUUAAUACAAGUAGGGCUAAGAAAAACUCAAUGAGGCUUUGGUCGCAUGGUCACAAAACUUGAGACAAGAAACACGAAGACACCAAGGUAAUUAGUAUGAGAGUUUUCCAAAUUUGGUGUCUUGAUGUAGAAAAAAUAAAUAUAUGACAAACUUGUUUUUUCGCAAGGCAUGGAUAAAUAAGUGGGGGUGAGCAAUAAAUUUCAUCCUAGAUUUAGAAGGAAUAAAUAUAUCACUAAAUACGUUUUUUCAUAAUGCCAAGUUAAUCAGGUGGGAGCGAGAAACAAUUCUAGCGAGGCUAGGUUGUACUAGCCCAAAACUACAUACAACAGAGGAAAAAUGAAGAAAAUGAUGGUCUACCAAAUAUGGCGCAUGAGCCUUAAGGUGCACCUAGAGGGAAGUAGAAGAAAUAAAUAUAUAAUAGCAUAUGUUUUUCUCAAUGCAAGGUAAAGUGUAGAUGUGCUCUAACUGGGCUUAGAUUGCAGCGACACAUUAUGCAUCUACAAGGCUUGGUUGCACAUGGAAAAAGAUAGAGAGAGAAAUGUAGACACAGGACGGGGAGAAAAACAUUCAAUGAGACAUGAUUGCACGGACAUAGAACUAGAUAUAAGACAAGAGUUAAAGAAAAAUAAAGGAACUAAAUUUUCUUCUGCACACUCAGCAUGAAUGGAGUUGUAGUAUCUGAGAUCAAAAUUUAAUUUAUUCCAAGAUGCAGAACAAAAACGUGAUACUCGUAAUGGUUACAUAGGAACAAAAGUAGAUAAGAAAAAUAGCAAAAAGAUAGUGGUCUACCAGAGAGGGCACAUGUGCCUCAAUUGGCCUAUAGCAUAGCGACUCAUUAUCCUUCCACCGCUGGUGGCGGGCGGUACUCGCUGCUCUGUGAAGCCAGCCUCACGCAAUGUCCGCCACUUUAGGUGUUGGGAUGCAAAGGCUUUCGCCAAGGCAUCCGAAACCCACUACACAACUUGGAAUGGGUGGUCCACAGUUUGUAGCACUAGACCCAGGCACAUGCACCACAAUUGACAUCCACACUACCUUAUUGCCCCCGCUCGGGUUACAAGCAAUCGCUACUUGCUCAGCGAGUGAGGGGGUUCAAGACUACCUAUUUAAGGUGGUGUUGUACUCUAUAAGCCGGCGGUGUGGUAUUUACCAACUACAAAUAGUGUCAUGCAUGUGACUUGCUAGUUGACAAUGUCUGUUGUCGAGCUAGAUGUGGGCUACGGAUGAAGCACAUUAUGAUAUAGUAGGCCUAUUUUGUUUUUUGUUGUUUUUGGGCCACUAUGGACUUUAUGUUGAUGUUGUGAAAUUUUUUCUUGUGUUUCCUCUUCCUACGAUGUGGAAAGUGGGUGUGUUAGAGAAGAAAGAAAGAGUGGCUAGCAUUGAUUUUACGUCAUACCAUUGAGAACACUAAUCAGAAGCAGAAGCAACAAUAUUUCAUACAUAUACAACACUUGUAAUCCAUAUAAACAACUUUCCUUUAAAAUAUAAUAUAAACCACAUGAUUUAUAUCCUGGGUCGGCUAUCUCCACAAAGGGCAAGAAAACGCUCCAAGUUUGUAGUAUAGAACUAAAAGUGUCGAUUCUCACGAUUUCUUCCCGACAUAUACAAACUAGACAGUAAUCACAUAAAAUAAAGAAAUAUGUGUUAACACAAACUUAUAGCAUGUAUUUCAACAUAUAGAUUGUUGAUUAUUAUGGUAGAUUAUAUAAAAUAGAGGUUCCCGAAGAAAUACAUAAAAACAAGAGCAUUAAAAUUUCCAUUUCAGAUCUGGCUAUCUGGUAAAAGGAGUUGGAGUAACUGAGUUUCCAAAUUUGUGACGUAGCUCUAUAGAAGGAAUAUAAAUACGUUGGAAAAAUUCUACAAGGAAAGGUUUAAUACAAGUAGGGCUAAGAAAAACUCAAUGAGGCUUUGGUCGCAUGGUCACAAAACUUGAGACAAGAAACACGAAGACACCAAGGUAAUUAGUAUGAGAGUUUUCCAAAUUUGGUGUCUUGAUGUAGAAAAAAUAAAUAUAUGACAAACUUGUUUUUUCGCAAGGCAUGGAUAAAUAAGUGGGGGCGAGCAAUAAAUUUCAUCCUAGAUUUAGAAGGAAUAAAUAUAUCACUAAAUACGUUUUUUCAUAAUGCCAAGUUCAUCAGGUGGGAGCGAGAAACAAUUCUAGCGAGGUUAGGUUGUACUAGCCCAAAACUACAUACAACAGAGGAAAAAUGAAGAAAAUGAUGGUCUACCAAAUAUGGCGCAUGGGCCUUAAGGUGCACCUAGAGGGAAGUAUAAGAAAUAAAUAUAUAAUAGCCUAUGUUUUUCGCAAUGCAAGGUAAAGUGUAGAUGUGCUCUAACUGGGCUUAGAUUGCAGCGACACAUUAUGCAUCUACAAGGCUUGGUUGCACAUGGAAAAAGAUAGAGAGAGAAAUGUAGACACAGGACGGGGAGAAAAACAUUCAAUGAGACAUGAUUGCACGGACAUAGAACUAGAUAUAAGACAAGAGUUAAAGAAAAAUAAAGGAACUAAAUUUUCUUCUGCACACUCAGCAUGAAUGGAGUUGUAGUAUCUGAGAUCAAAAUUUAAUUUAUUCCAAGAUGCAGAACAAAAACGUGAUACUCGUAAUGGUUACAUAGGAACAAAAGUAGAUAAGAAAAAUAGCAAAAAGAUAGUGGUCUACCAGAGAGGGCACAUGUGCCUCAAUUGGCCUAUAGCAUAGCGACUCAUUAUCCUUCCACCGCUGGUGGCAGGCGGUACUCGCUGCUCUGUGAAGCCAGCCUCACGCAAUGUCCGCCACUUUAGGUGUUGGGAUGCAAAGGCUUUCGCCAAGGCAUCCGAAACCCACUACGCAACUUGGAAUGGGUGGUCCACAGUUUGUAGCACUAGACCCAGGCACAUGCACCACAAUUGACAUCCACACUACCUU
Molecule: long non-coding RNA, 3997 nt
Filed under: Zea mays
Lineage: Eukaryota; Viridiplantae; Streptophyta; Magnoliopsida; Poales; Poaceae
Description: long non-coding RNA (ZMAY_LNC000227)
Source: RNAcentral